ACGAACGCUGGCGGCAUGCCUAACACAUGCAAGUCGAACGAGACCUUCGGGUCUAGUGGCGCACGGGUGCGUAACGCGUGGGAACCUGCCCUUAGGUUCGGAAUAACUCCCCGAAAGGGGUGCUAAUACCGGAUAAUGUCUUCGGACCAAAGAUUUAUCGCCUUUGGAUGGGCCCGCGUUGGAUUAGCUAGUUGGUAGGGUAAAAGCCUACCAAGGCGACGAUCCAUAGCUGGUCUGAGAGGAUGAUCAGCCACACUGGGACUGAGACACGGCCCAGACUCCUACGGGAGGCAGCAGUGGGGAAUAUUGGACAAUGGGCGAAAGCCUGAUCCAGCAAUGCCGCGUGAGUGAUGAAGGCCUUAGGGUUGUAAAGCUCUUUUACCCGGGAUGAUAAUGACAGUACCGGGAGAAUAAGCUCCGGCUAACACCGUG
Molecule: ribosomal RNA, 432 nt
Filed under: uncultured bacterium
Lineage: Bacteria
Description: partial 16S ribosomal RNA
Rfam family: Bacterial small subunit ribosomal RNA
Source: RNAcentral